UGGGGAAUAUUGGACAAUGGGCGCAAGCCUGAUCCAGCCACGCCGCGUGAGUGAUGAAGGCCUUCGGGUUGUAAAGCUCUGUGGGGAGGGACGAAAAAAGCGACUAAGAAACGAGUCGCUCUUGACAGUACCUCCUUAGCAAGCACCGGCUAACUCUGUGCCAGCAGCCGCGGUAAUACAGAGGGUGCGAACGUUGCUCGGAAUUACUGGGCGUAAAGCGCGUGUAGGCGGGUGAUCAAGUCGGAUGUGAAAGCCCUGGGCUCAACCCAGGAACUGCAUUCGAAACUGGUCGCCUAGAGUGCUGGAGAGGGAAGCGGAAUUCCUGGUGUAGAGGUGAAAUUCGUAGAUAUCAGGAGGAACACCGGUGGCGAAGGCGGCUUCCUGGACAGUUACUGACGCUGAGACGCGAAAGCGUGGGGAGCAAACAGG
This 429-nucleotide ribosomal RNA is filed under the name uncultured bacterium. RNAcentral's name for it is "bacterial SSU rRNA". It matches the Rfam family "Bacterial small subunit ribosomal RNA", at positions 355 to 776 of the family's 1533-position model. The record is from RNAcentral.